GAUGAAGAACGUAGCGAAAUGCGAUACUUGGUGUGAAUUGCAGAAUCCCGUGAACCAUCGAGUCUUUGAACGCAAGUUGCGCCUCAAGCCAUUAGGUUGAGGGCACGUCUGCCUGGGCGUCACAUAUCGUUGCCUGAUGCCAGUUUCCUCGUGAUGGGUGACUGUGCAGGGCGAAUGAUGGCUUCCCGUGAGCAUUGUUGCCUCAUGGUUGGUUGAAAAUUGAGUCCUUGGUAGGGGGCGCCGUGAUAGAUGGUGGUUGAGUGACGAACGAGACCCAAUCAUGUGAGACCCCUACCGAAUUUGGCCUUCAUGACCCACAUGCGUCUUUGGAACGCUCAUGACGAGACCUCAGGUCAGGCGGGGCUACCCGCUGAGUUUAAGCAUAUCAAUAAGCGGAGGA
RNAcentral lists this unclassified non-coding RNA (400 nucleotides) under soil metagenome. RNAcentral's name for it is "partial contains 5.8S ribosomal RNA, internal transcribed spacer 2, and large subunit ribosomal RNA". The stretch from base 1 to 122 matches the Rfam family "5.8S ribosomal RNA", at positions 35 to 154 of the family's 154-position model. The record is from RNAcentral.